Molecule: small nuclear RNA, 107 nt
Organism: Fukomys damarensis (Damara mole-rat)
Lineage: Eukaryota; Metazoa; Chordata; Mammalia; Rodentia; Bathyergidae
Source: Ensembl
CUGCUUACUUGGCAGCAGGUAUGAUAAAAUUGGCAUUAUACAGAGAAGGUCAGCAUUGGCACAACAAAAGGGCAGCAUGUGAAUCUGCAUAAAAGCCAUAGUUUUAU